GCCCCCAUCGUCUAGAGGCCCAGGAUGCAUGGUUCUCAGCCAUGAGACCCCGGUUCGAAUCCGGGUGGGGGUACCA
Molecule: transfer RNA, 76 nt
Filed under: Limnochorda pilosa
Lineage: Bacteria; Bacillati; Bacillota; Limnochordia; Limnochordales; Limnochordaceae
Description: tRNA-Glu
Rfam family: tRNA
About the family: Transfer RNA (tRNA) molecules are approximately 80 nucleotides in length.
Source: RNAcentral